AACGAACGCUGGCGGCAUGCCUAACACAUGCAAGUCGAACGAGACCUUCGGGUCUAGUGGCGCACGGGUGCGUAACGCGUGGGAACCUGCCCUUAGGUUCGGAAUAACUCCCCGAAAGGGGUGCUAAUACCGGAUAAUGUCUUCGGACCAAAGAUUUAUCGCCUUUGGAUGGGCCCGCGUUGGAUUAGCUAGUUGGUAGGGUAAAAGCCUACCAAGGCGACGAUCCAUAGCUGGUCUGAGAGGAUGAUCAGCCGCACUGGGACUGAGACACGGCCCAGACUCCUACGGGAGGCAGCAGUGGGGAAUAUUGGACAAUGGGCGAAAGCCUGAUCCAGCAAUGCCGCGUGAGUGAUGAAGGCCUUAGGGUUGUAAAGCUCCUUUACCCGGGAUGAUAAUGACAGUACCGGGAGAAUAAGCUCCGGCUAACUCCGUG
This 433-nucleotide ribosomal RNA is filed under the name uncultured bacterium. RNAcentral's name for it is "partial 16S ribosomal RNA". It matches the Rfam family "Bacterial small subunit ribosomal RNA", at positions 29 to 507 of the family's 1533-position model. The record is from RNAcentral.